RNAcentral lists this transfer RNA (70 nucleotides) under Dipodomys ordii (Ord's kangaroo rat). It matches the Rfam family "tRNA". From Rfam's summary of the family: Transfer RNA (tRNA) molecules are approximately 80 nucleotides in length. Their secondary structure includes four short double-helical elements and three loops (D, anti-codon, and T loops). Lineage: Eukaryota; Metazoa; Chordata; Mammalia; Rodentia; Heteromyidae. The record is from Rfam by way of RNAcentral.
GGGAAUGUGGCUUAGUGGUAGAGUGCAUGCCUAGCAUGUUUGAAGCCCUGGGUUCGAUUCCUCAGUACCA